Molecule: ribosomal RNA, 460 nt
Filed under: uncultured bacterium
Lineage: Bacteria
Description: partial 16S ribosomal RNA
Rfam family: Bacterial small subunit ribosomal RNA
Source: RNAcentral
CCUACGGGUGACAGCAGUGAGGAAUAUUGGUCAAUGGACGAGAGUCUGAACCAGCCAAGUAGCGUGAAGGAUGACUGCCCUCUGGGUUGUAAACUUCUUUUAUAAAGGAAUAAAACGAGGCAAGUGUGCCUUUUUGCACGGACUUUAUGAAUAAGGAUCGGCUAACUCCGGGCUAUCAGCCGCGGUAAUACGGAGGAUCCGAGCGUUAUCCGGAUUUAUUGGGUUUAAAGGGAGCGUAGAUGGGUUGUUAAGUCAGUUGUGAAAGUUUGCGGCUCAACCGUAAAAUUGCAAUUGAUACUGGCAAUCGUGAGUACAGUUGAGGUAGGCGGAAUUCGUGGUGUAGCGGUGAAAUGCUUAGAUAUCACGAAGAACCCCGAAUGCGAAGGCAGCUUACUAAGCUGUGACUGACAUUGAUGCUCGAAAGUGUGGGUAUCAAACAGGAUUAGAUACCCUAGUAGUC